This 878-nucleotide ribosomal RNA is filed under the name Macrogastra asphaltina. RNAcentral describes it as "partial large subunit ribosomal RNA". The stretch from base 362 to 611 matches the Rfam family "Archaeal large subunit ribosomal RNA", at positions 1786 to 2143 of the family's 2987-position model. The record is from RNAcentral. Lineage: Eukaryota; Metazoa; Mollusca; Gastropoda; Stylommatophora; Clausiliidae.
CUAAAUUAAUAGUCAUAAGUAUUUGUGCUCCCGAAGUAAGAAUAUCUAACUAGAUAUAUUAUGUUAGAAUUAACACCAAUAAUGUGGCAUAAUUAUUUAUAAAUAUCUAGUUAGGAGUGAAAGGCUUGCCAAUUCUUAUUGAUAACUGGAUAGAACUUAAAUAUAUUAAGUAUAGUUUAUUCAUAUAAAAAGUGCUAAGAUUUUUUAUAAAUAAAAGCAUGAUAUAACCCAGCUAAUUCUACUCUAUUAAUAUAAUUUAGACAAAAGAACUAUAAAUUAUUAUAUUUCUAUUGACUUUUUCCUAUAAGUUUUUAAUAGGAUUCUAAACCACCUUAUUAUUAAAUAAUGUUUAGAUGAGUAUUUAUAUUAAAAAGACGUUAGGAACUCGGCAAAUGACUUUCUUCAACUGUUUAUCAAAAACAUAGCUAACUGCAAUUAUUAUGGUUAGUUAUUUCUGCCCAGUGAGACAUUUAACGGCCGCAGUACACUGACUGUGCAAAGGUAGCAUAAUAAAUUGACUCUUAAUUGGAGUCUUGCAUGAAAGAACUAAAUGGAGGAUAACUGUCUUAUGUUUUCUAUAUAAAAUUUACUUAGAAAGUGUAAAUGCUUUCAAAUUUAAUUAAAAGACGAGAAGACCCUAUAAAUUUUUACAAUAUUUAAAUUACUUUUAAGUUUAGUUUUUGUUGGGGCAACAGUUUAACAGUAGCAUAAUCUAAAUUAAAAAUGGGCUCACAUAAAUCAAGUAUUACUAGUUACAAAAAAAUUACUAUAGGGAUAACAGCAUAAUUUUUCUAUUAAGAUUGUGACCUCGAUGUUGGAUUAGGAAGCUUUUAAAUUAGUAAUUUAAUGGCAUGGUUCUGUUCGCACCUUUAACUCCU